Pelobates cultripes (western spadefoot toad) is the source of this 201-nucleotide non-coding RNA. NCBI's taxonomy places the organism in Eukaryota, Metazoa, Chordata, Amphibia, Anura, Pelobatidae. The record is from the annotation of a GenBank genome assembly.
GUAGGUCUUACAAGGUUUACAGCAACCACAACUUGCCAUUAAUCAUACCUUCUGCUCACUGCCUUGUCAGUCGGUAUGCUUCUUCUAACCAUAAACUUAACCACCUUCAGUCAGCUCACCUUGUGAGCAGGCUGACCUUUGGGUAAUUGUGACCCUUUCUGUUCUGUUUCUAACUCUGACUGUAUGUGAAUUUACCUCCAU